AUGGUGGACUUGUUGUAGAAUUAUUAGGCCUCUAUAAAUUUGUAAGGCCCCUUUAAAUCCUCUUGCUAUACCUCUAAGAGGCCCCCAUAGUUUUACAAGGAAGCUUUGUCUAUAGAACAUAGAAUUUGCAUGUCAGCAAGAAAUAGCUUUGAUAAAAUGUGUAUUUACUAAAAUCCUUGAAACUUAACCUUGAGAAACUAACAAGUGCCAGCUACGCUCCAAAUGGAUAGCUGCCAAAAG
This is a non-coding RNA of Pelobates cultripes (western spadefoot toad), 240 nucleotides long. NCBI's taxonomy places the organism in Eukaryota, Metazoa, Chordata, Amphibia, Anura, Pelobatidae. The record is from the annotation of a GenBank genome assembly.